GACGAACGCUGGCGGCGUGCAUAACACAUGCAAGUUGAGCGAAGAACUUAUCAUGAAAUCUUCGGGUUGAUUGAUAAAAUUCUUAGCGGCGGAUGGGUGAGUAACACGUGAGAAACCUGCCUUACACAAGGGAAUAGCCUCGGGAAACCGGGAUUAAUGCCCUAUGAUACUUUUAAUCCACAUGGAUUUAAAGUUAAAGCGAUUUAGCGGUGUAAGAUGGUCUCGCGUCCCAUUAGCUAGUUGGUGAGAUAAAAGCUCACCAAGGCUACGAUGGGUAACCGGCUUGAGAGAGUGGACGGUCACACUGGAACUGAGACACGGUCCAGACUCCUACGGGUGGCAG
This 343-nucleotide ribosomal RNA is filed under the name uncultured Bacillota bacterium. RNAcentral's name for it is "bacterial SSU rRNA". It matches the Rfam family "Bacterial small subunit ribosomal RNA", at positions 28 to 351 of the family's 1533-position model. The record is from RNAcentral. Lineage: Bacteria; Bacillati; Bacillota.